UUGGGAUUUGCCCGGCCGCCCAACCCUUUCAUUUGCUGCGGAUGCCUGGAUGUGCGCGUGCACCGCGGGGCUAUUCACUGAUUGCGGUUGACCAGAAAUAGUUGGUGAGUGGAGUGUAGUCAGCUACUUCGAAGCCGAAAAGGGCCCUCGGCCCGGGUGUAGCAAGGAGUUGCCCCGCAGUAUUCCGCAGGGGACGCUGUACGGCACUGGGCUGCAAGUGGCUAGACCCACCACUACGGGGUGCUAUAUCACGACUUCAGAAAAGUACUGAUCGGCAGCUGCAGAUGUCAGAUCCCGUGAUAGUGCGCUCGCCAGGAUUCUAAACGAGGGCCAUCUGGUUUGUGGUGGUGUAAAACACCCGGCCCCUUGCCAGCCCUUGCCCCCAAAAGACGAUCACGAUGACGCAUGAUGACGAUGAUGAUGAUCAUGAUAACGAUAAGGAUCAGAAGGACGCUUGCAAGGAAGACGGGACACGUAGGAACUGGAAAACUUGCACACAUCAGUCGUGCGGGCUCAGCAACGCAGGGGUGAUUACGACACUAGAUAUGAUAAAUAUGAUAUGACACGAUAUCUUGUGUAGCAGCGCAAAACCUCGGCAAAAAGCAGCAGCAGCAGCAGCAGCAGCAGCCGCCGCAUGUGGCCCUCCUCCAUCCGCCCGUAUACAGAAGCCGGUGGUGGGAGGUAUGUGUGUAUGAGGUAGCAGCACUGUGGCUACUAUUACCGACCGCGCCACACAGUGAGGACUCCCCAUCGCCCAUCCCUCUCUCCUCGCUCCACGCACCCUUUCCUCUCCCCUUCCCUCGUCCCUCCUCUUCGCAUGCUGGUCUGUCCACCCGUCAUGACGUGCGUACGGUGGGGUGUAUUCAGUACCCCCAUAACCACCGCGGGUCGUUCCCAAACGCCCUCGAAAGCUCCUGAUUGAAGGGCCUGCGGAGGGAGGGGCAGCGGAAACAGUAGCAAAGAGGUAACACAAAAACUAGCAACAGCAGCGAGAGNNNNNNNNNNNNNNNNNNNNNNNNNNNNNNNNNNNNNNNNNNNNNNNNNNNNNNNNNNNNNNNNNNNNNNNNNNGUUUGCGCAUGGACUGCUGUAUGGCAUUUGCUGUUUCUCAUGCAUCAGUUUUUGCUUGUGAUGGAGGUAGUGCUAUGUACACGAUGGUUACACCACUCCUCGUACGUCUGUGAAGGUUUGAAGGUAUAAUGUGGUGGUAAGCUAAAUCGCCGAGUACGGCAUGCUGCGUUGAAUCACCUUAUUCUAUUUCAUCGUUGGGAUUUGCCCGGCCGCCCAACCCUUUCAUUUGCUGCGGAUGCCUGGAUGUGCGCGUGCACCGCGGGGCUAUUCACUGAUUGCGGUUGACCAGGAAUAGUUGGUGAGUGGAGUGUAGUCAGCUACUUCGAAGCCGAAAAGGGCCCUCGGCCCGGGUGUAGCAAGGAGUUGCCCCGCUGUAUUCCGCAGGGGACGCUGUACGGCACUGGGCUGCAAGUGGCUAGACCCACCACUACGGGGUGCUAUAUCACGACUUCAGAAAAGUACCGAUCGGCAGCUGCAGAUGUCAGAUCCCGUGAUAGUGCGCUCUCCAGGAUUCUAAACGAGGGCCAUCUGGUUUGUGGUGGUGUAAAACACCCGGCCCCUUGCCAGCCCUUGCCCCCAAAAGACGAUCACGAUGACGCAUGAUGAUGAUGAUGAUGAUGAUGAUGAUGAUCAUGAUAACGAUAAGGAUCAGAAGGACGCUUGCAAGGAAGACGGGACAUGUAGGAACUGGAAAACUUGCACACAUCAGUCGUGCGGGCUCAGCAAUGCAGGGGUGAUUACGACACUAGAUAUGAUAAAUAUGAUAUGACACGAUAUCUUGUGUAGCAGCGCAAAACCUCGGCAAAAAGCAGCAGCAGCAGCAGCAGCAGCACGCAUGUGGCCCUCCUCCAUCCGCCCGUAUACAGAAGCCGGUGGUGGGAGGUAUGUGUGUAUGAGGUAGCAGCACUGUGGCUACUAUUACCGACCGCGCCACACAGUGAGGACUCCCCAUCGCCCAUCCCUCUCUCCUCGCUCCACGCACCC
This 2053-nucleotide long non-coding RNA is filed under the name Volvox carteri. RNAcentral describes it as "long non-coding RNA (VCAR_LNC002729)". Lineage: Eukaryota; Viridiplantae; Chlorophyta; Chlorophyceae; Chlamydomonadales; Volvocaceae. The record is from RNAcentral.